ACGGGGCCGCACAAGCGGUGAGUAUGUGGUUUAAUUCGACGCAACGCGCAGAACCUUACCUAGACUUGACAUCCCGGGGAUUUUCUGGAAACAGAGAAGUGCUUUAGCAAUAAAGAACCCGGUGACAGGUGCUGCAUGGCUGUCGUCAGCUCGUGUCGUGAGAUGUUGGGUUAAGUCCCGCAACGAGCGCAACCCUCGCCCUUUAGUUGCCAGCAUUCAGUUGGGCACUCUAGAGGGACUGCCGGUGUCAAACCGGAGGAAGGUGGGAUGACGUCAAGUCCUCAUGGCCUUUAUGUCUAGGGCUACACACGUACUACAAUGGCCGGUACAAAGGGCAGCCACUCAGCGAUGAGGCGCUAAUCCCAUAAAGCCGGUCUCAGUCCGGAUCGCAGUCUGCAACUCGACUGCGUGAAGUUGGAAUCGCUAGUAAUCGUAGAUCAGCAUGCUACGGUGAAUACGUUCCCGGGCCUU
Molecule: ribosomal RNA, 471 nt
Filed under: uncultured Desulfovibrio sp.
Lineage: Bacteria; Pseudomonadati; Thermodesulfobacteriota; Desulfovibrionia; Desulfovibrionales; Desulfovibrionaceae
Description: bacterial SSU rRNA
Rfam family: Bacterial small subunit ribosomal RNA
Source: RNAcentral